GAUAUCUUCGACGGGAGAACCGGCAGGGCCCUGGCCCCAGGCCGGUGCCGAAGGCGCAACCGCCCCGGAAUCGCUCAGGCCACAGGACCGCGAGGAGAUG
This 100-nucleotide non-coding RNA is filed under the name Antarctobacter aquimaris. Its description in RNAcentral is "Maliponia aquimaris Glycine sequence". It matches the Rfam family "Glycine riboswitch aptamer". From Rfam's summary of the family: This family represents the bacterial glycine riboswitch. Glycine riboswitches usually consist of two metabolite-binding aptamers domains with similar structures in tandem. The aptamers cooperatively bind glycine to regulate the expression of downstream genes. Lineage: Bacteria; Pseudomonadati; Pseudomonadota; Alphaproteobacteria; Rhodobacterales; Roseobacteraceae. The record is from RNAcentral.